CUCUCCGUGUCUGUGCCGGGACAGGCGGCCAUCUGCAUCAAAUUCCCGCAGCACGUCUUUCACUUUCAGGCUGCAAUCUGGAAGAGGUUCGCACAAGGAGGGAAAAAGUCAAGCUGAAUGAAGUCGACGGGGUUGAGCUCCUUGACUUCUUUGCUGGCGGGGGUGGACAUGCUGCGUGAGCUCGGGCGCGAGACGCGGCGAGGCGAAACUGUGGAGACGAGUGACAAGGAGGAAGCCAGAGUACCCAGAGAACACCCAUGCAAGCACUGGGAGAACAUGCAAACUCCACAUAGAAAAGGCCAGAGCCGACAUUCGAACCCCCGAAAUGUAAUGAAGACGUGCUAACCACUAUUCCGCCGUGCUGCUAUGGGAACAUUUGUGUCCAAAUUUUUACAAAAAUUGAAGGUUGAGCAGCAUCUUGGAAAUAAUUGUGCUCCACUGUGCAGCCUGUAUUUACAUAGUCAUCAUUAUUAAUAAAUGGUGAUCCA
Long non-coding RNA from Phycodurus eques (leafy seadragon), 488 nucleotides. RefSeq lists it as uncharacterized. Lineage: Eukaryota; Metazoa; Chordata; Actinopteri; Syngnathiformes; Syngnathidae. The transcript has 3 exons. The record is from RefSeq and is a predicted model, not a curated record.